Molecule: long non-coding RNA, 837 nt
Organism: Dioscorea cayenensis subsp. rotundata (Guinea yam)
Lineage: Eukaryota; Viridiplantae; Streptophyta; Magnoliopsida; Dioscoreales; Dioscoreaceae
Exons: 3
Source: RefSeq, a predicted model, not a curated record
GCCCUAAUGAUGGAAUUGGAGGCACGAACAUUGGCCCAACAAUAUGGAGGUGGUGCAUUUGCUGUCUCUAAGCACAUGUUUGUUUUUUCAAACUACAAAGAUCAACGUUUCUACAAGAAAUCCAUUGGAUAGGAGAAGUUCUCUGGCCACUCAACAAUGAGCGUUGGUUUUAAGGGAGCAGACCUUUGCAAUGUGUGCAUUGAAGCUGGAAUGUCAAUAAUCCGUGCAGAGUGUGAUUAUGCUAUUGAUGAGGAUUUUAUGAAGGUAUGAACUUCAUACUUGAUUAAAUAAAUUAGCUUGCUUCUUUAUUAUGAAUUAUUAGAAAUAAUAUAGUACUCUAUCGAUAAUGAUGUAUAAAUAUCCUAAGUAAUUUUGUAGCAAGUAUCAAAUUUAUAAAGUAUUUUGUAGCACGCAUAAAAAAUAUGAUUAUAACAUGUAUUCAAUCAUUAAAGUAUUUUGUAGCAAUUAUCAUUAGUUAGAUGAGUUUUUAAAAGUAAAUAGUUCAUACAGAGGAACUAGUCUAUACACUGGAAAAGAGAGGUCUGGCUUGUCCUAGUCACUUCUCUCCAUCCAGAAAAGAAAGAUAUUUGCACUUUCCUCAUAGAACCAGUAUUUUGAAAAUUAUAUCUGAAAUCUAUUAUGAAUCUAUAUAAAUUAGUAGAAAAAAUAGAUCUUAUUUAUAAAAAAUUAAUCGUGGUAGAUGCUAAUUUAGUUAAAGUGGAAACUAUAUUAGCCAAUUUAGAUUAUAUUAAAAAUAAUAUGAAAAAGAAUAGAGAAAGUAAUGUUGUAAAUGAGUUAUGCACUUGUAUGAAAAAAUUAACUUUAGAAAAAAAAAAU